CCCUUUGGGGUGUGACUGCGUACCUUUUGUAUAAUGGGUCAGCGACUUAUAUUCUGUAGCAAGGUUAACCGAAUAGGGGAGCCGGAGGGAAACCGAGUCUUAAUUGGGCGUUAAGUUGCAGGGUAUAGACCCGAAACCCGGUGAUCUAGCCAUGGGCAGGUUGAAGGUUGGGUAACACUAACUGGAGGACCGAACCGACUAAUGUUGAAAAAUUAGCGGAUGACCUGUGGCUGGGGGUGAAAGGCCAAUCAAACCGGGAGAUAGCUGGUUCUCCCCGAAAGCUAUUUAGGUAGCGCCUCGUGAAUUCAUCUCCGGGGGUAGAGCACUGUUUCGGCUAGGGGGCCAUCCCGGCUUACCAACCCGAUGCAAACUGCGAAUACCGGAGAAUGUUAUCACGGGAGACACACGGCGGGUGCUAACGUCCGUCGUGAAGAGGGAAACAACCCAGACCGCCAGCUAAGGUCCCAAAGUCAUGGUUAAGUGGGAAACGAUGUGGGAAGGCCCAGACAGCCAGGAUGUUGGCUUAGAAGCAGCCAUCAUUUAAAGAAAGCGUAAUAGCUCACUGGUCGAGUCGGCCUGCGCGGAAGAUGUAACGGGGCUAAACCAUGCACCGAAGCUGCGGCAGCGAACGUAUCACUUAAAGCGAUUCAGCGGGUUACGAUUGACGGAGCGAAGCGACGUCAAAGCGUAUACAAAGUCGAGUCGGUUUAAGGAUACGUUCGUUGGGUAGGGGAGCGUUCUGUAAGCCUGUGAAGGUGGCCUGUGAGGGUUGCUGGAGGUAUCAGAAGUGCGAAUGCUGACAUAAGUAACGAUAAAGCGGGUGAAAAGCCCGCUCGCCGGAAGACCAAGGGUUCCUGUCCAACGUUAAUCGGGGCAGGGUGAGUCGACCCCUAAGGCGAGGCCGAAAGGCGUAGUCGAUGGGAAACGGGUUAAUAUUCCCGUACUUGGUGUUACUGCGAAGGGGGGACGGAGAAGGCUAUGUUGGCCGGGCGACGGUUGUCCCGGUUUAAGCGUGUAGGUGUGUGUUCCAGGUAAAUCCGGUUCACUUUAACACUGAGGCGUGACGACGAGGCACUACGGUGCUGAAGCAACAAAUGCCCUGCUUCCAGGAAAAGCCUCUAAGCAUCAGGUAACAUCAAAUCGUACCCCAAACCGACACAGGUGGUCAGGUAGAGAAUACCAAGGCGCUUGAGAGAACUCGGGUGAAGGAACUAGGCAAAAUGGUGCCGUAACUUCGGGAGAAGGCACGCUGACACGUAGGUGAAGUGAUUUACUCAUGGAGCUGAAGUCAGUCGAAGAUACCAGCUGGCUGCAACUGUUUAUUAAAAACACAGCACUGUGCAAACACGAAAGUGGACGUAUACGGUGUGACGCCUGCCCGGUGCCGGAAGGUUAAUUGAUGGGGUCAGCGCAAGCGAAGCUCCUGAUCGAAGCCCCGGUAAACGGCGGCCGUAACUAUAACGGUCCUAAGGUAGCGAAAUUCCUUGUCGGGUAAGUUCCGACCUGCACGAAUGGCGUAAUGAUGGCCAGGCUGUCUCCACCCGAGACUCAGUGAAAUUGAACUCGCUGUGAAGAUGCAGUGUACCCGCGGCAAGACGGAAAGACCCCGUGAACCUUUACUAUAGCUUGACACUGAACAUUGAGCCUUGAUGUGUAG
This 1657-nucleotide ribosomal RNA is filed under the name Salmonella enterica subsp. enterica serovar Thompson. RNAcentral describes it as "partial 23S ribosomal RNA". It matches the Rfam family "Bacterial large subunit ribosomal RNA", at positions 582 to 2141 of the family's 2925-position model. Lineage: Bacteria; Pseudomonadati; Pseudomonadota; Gammaproteobacteria; Enterobacterales; Enterobacteriaceae. The record is from RNAcentral.